Molecule: ribosomal RNA, 253 nt
Filed under: uncultured bacterium
Lineage: Bacteria
Description: partial 16S ribosomal RNA
Rfam family: Bacterial small subunit ribosomal RNA
Source: RNAcentral
UACGUAGGGGGCUAGCGUUGUCCGGAAUCAUUGGGCGUAAAGAGCGUGUAGGCGGUUCGGUAAGUCCGCUGUGAAAGUCGGGGGCUCAACCCUCGAAUGCCGGUGGAUACGGUCGGGCUAGAGUGCGGAAGAGGCGAGUGGAAUUCCUGGUGUAGCGGUGAAAUGCGCAGAUAUCAGGAGGAACACCAAUUGCGAAGGCAGCUCGCUGGGACGUAACUGACGCUGAGACGCGAAAGCGUGGGGAGCGAGCAGG